RNAcentral lists this ribosomal RNA (716 nucleotides) under uncultured bacterium. RNAcentral describes it as "bacterial SSU rRNA". It matches the Rfam family "Bacterial small subunit ribosomal RNA", at positions 777 to 1500 of the family's 1533-position model. The record is from RNAcentral.
AUUAGAUACCCUGGGUAGUCCACGCAGUAAACGAUGGAUGCUAGCUGUCCGGGGCGAAUGAGUUCUGGGUGGCACAGCGAAAGCGUUAAGCAUCCCACCUGGGGAGUACGCCGGCAACGGUGAAACUCAAAGGAAUUGACGGGGGCCCGCACAAGCGGAGGAACAUGUGGUUUAAUUCGAUGAUACGCGAGGAACCUUACCCGGGCUCAAACGGCACAGUGAUACUUUUGAAAGGAGGUAGCUCUACGGAGACUGUGCCGAGGUGCUGCAUGGUUGUCGUCAGCUCGUGCCGUGAGGUGUCGGCUUAAGUGCCAUAACGAGCGCAACCCCUACCGACAGUUGCUAACAAGCGAAGUUGAGGACUCUGUCGGGACUGCCGGCGCAAGCUGCGAGGAAGGCGGGGAUGACGUCAAAUCAGCACGGCCCUUACGUCCGGGGCGACACACGUGUUACAAUGGCGGGUACAGCGGGAGGCCAUGCGGCGACGCAGAGCGGAACCCGAAAACCCGUCUCAGUUCGGAUUGGAGUCUGCAACCCGACUCCAUGAAGCUGGAUUCGCUAGUAAUCGCGCAUCAGCCACGGCGCGGUGAAUACGUUCCCGGGCCUUGUACACACCGCCCGUCAAGCCAUGGGAGCCGGGAGUGCCUGAAGCGCGUGACCGCGAGGAGCGCGCUAAGGUGAUACCGGUGACUGGGGCUAAGUCGUAACAAGGUACC